RNAcentral lists this ribosomal RNA (253 nucleotides) under uncultured bacterium. RNAcentral's name for it is "partial 16S ribosomal RNA". It matches the Rfam family "Bacterial small subunit ribosomal RNA", at positions 524 to 776 of the family's 1533-position model. The record is from RNAcentral.
UACGUAGGGUGCGAGCGUUGUCCGGAAUUAUUGGGCGUAAAGGGCUCGUAGGCGGUUUGUCGCGUCGGGAGUGAAAACCUCGGGCUUAACUCGGGGCUUGCUUUCGAUACGGGCAGACUAGAGGUAUGCAGGGGAGAACGGAAUUCCUGGUGUAGCGGUGAAAUGCGCAGAUAUCAGGAAGAACACCCGUGGCGAAGGCGGCUCUCUGGGACGGUACUGACGCUGAGACGCGAAAGCGUGGGGAGCGAACAGG